This 464-nucleotide ribosomal RNA is filed under the name uncultured bacterium. RNAcentral describes it as "partial 16S ribosomal RNA". It matches the Rfam family "Bacterial small subunit ribosomal RNA", at positions 339 to 795 of the family's 1533-position model. The record is from RNAcentral.
CUACGGGUCGCAGCAGUGGGGAAUAUUGCACAAUGGGCGCAAGCCUGAUGCAGCCAUGCCGCGUGUACGAAGAAGGCCUUCGGGUUGUAAAGUACUUUCAGCGGGGAGGAAGGGAGUAAAGUUAAUACCUUUGCUCAUUGACGUUACCCGCAGAAGAAGCACCGGCUAACUCCGUGCCAGCAGCCGCGGUAAUACGGAGGGUGCAAGCGUUAAUCGGAAUUACUGGGCGUAAAGCGCACGCAGGCGGUUUGUUAAGUCAGAUGUGAAAUCCCCGGGCUCAACCUGGGAACUGCAUCUGAUACUGGCAAGCUUGAGUCUCGUAGAGGGGGGUAGAAUUCCAGGUGUAGCGGUGAAAUGCGUAGAGAUCUGGAGGAAUACCGGUGGCGAAGGCGGCCCCCUGGACGAAGACUGACGCUCAGGUGCGAAAGCGUGGGGAGCAAACAGGAUUAGAUACCCGCGUAGUC